ACGUCGUUGGUUUAGUGGUAAAAUUCGUCCCUGCCACGGACGAGGCCCGGGUUCGAUUCCCGGACGACGUA
Molecule: transfer RNA, 71 nt
Filed under: Hemiselmis andersenii
Lineage: Eukaryota; Cryptophyceae; Cryptomonadales; Hemiselmidaceae
Description: tRNA-Gly
Rfam family: tRNA
About the family: Transfer RNA (tRNA) molecules are approximately 80 nucleotides in length. Their secondary structure includes four short double-helical elements and three loops (D, anti-codon, and T loops).
Source: RNAcentral